CAAAGAUCUCAUCUGAGAGCUGCUGCCGGCAAGACUGAAGACUGCACCAGCUUUAACGUUCUGCAUGGUGAACCAGUCAUAGGCUGUUCCCAGGUGAUGCUGUUAGGAAGUGGCAAGAGGGGCUCAGAGCAGGGAGCAGAGAGCCGUAUGACCGCCGCCUUUGAAGGGAGCAUUUUGUUUUAGGUUUCGAUAUUAAGGUUUAAAACCUUCCAGAGAAAAGAACUUUGUAAGUAUGGUACAUAA
Molecule: long non-coding RNA, 243 nt
Filed under: Struthio camelus australis
Lineage: Eukaryota; Metazoa; Chordata; Aves; Struthioniformes; Struthionidae
Description: lncRNA (ENSSCUG00000009698.1)
Source: RNAcentral